CCCUAGUAACGGCGAGUGAAGCGGGAACAGCUCAAAUUUGGAAUCUGGCGGAUUGCAUCCGUCCGAAUUGUAAUUUCAAGAGGCAUCUUCGGGUUCGGCUCAGGUAAAAGUCCGUUGGAAUACGGCAUCAUAGAGGGUGAGAAUCCCGUCCAUGACCUGGGUCCCGUUCCUAUGUGANGUGUCUUCAAAGAGUCGAGUUGU
RNAcentral lists this ribosomal RNA (201 nucleotides) under Neolecta vitellina. RNAcentral's name for it is "partial large subunit ribosomal RNA". It matches the Rfam family "Eukaryotic large subunit ribosomal RNA", at positions 78 to 273 of the family's 3401-position model. The record is from RNAcentral. Lineage: Eukaryota; Fungi; Ascomycota; Neolectomycetes; Neolectales; Neolectaceae.